RNAcentral lists this long non-coding RNA (180 nucleotides) under Oryctolagus cuniculus (rabbit). RNAcentral describes it as "lncRNA (ENSOCUG00000038274.1)". Lineage: Eukaryota; Metazoa; Chordata; Mammalia; Lagomorpha; Leporidae. The record is from RNAcentral.
AACCUGACAGCCAAGAUUGAGGAUGCGUUCCAAGGAAAGACUCCCCUUCUUAGGAUGUUGCAUUAGGUACGCAAUUUGUUGCUCCAAGUAGACUACGUGAUUUUUCGAAUCUUCAUCCACUCAUAAAAUCCUCUUCUGUUGAUGAAAGCGGACAUUAGAGCUCAGGGUGGCAGUUGCUGU